This is a long non-coding RNA of Cyprinus carpio carpio, 1065 nucleotides long. NCBI's taxonomy places the organism in Eukaryota, Metazoa, Chordata, Actinopteri, Cypriniformes, Cyprinidae. The record is from Ensembl.
GUGAACAACAAUCUGAUUUGAAGUAUAUGUUGAUUGAAUUUUCAGGUCUCUUUUCAGAUACUCCUUCUCGUACACACUUGAUUGAACAUGAUAUAGAUGUUGGAGAUGCUAAACCUGUCUGUCAGCGUUUUUAUCAUGUGUCAUUGGAUAAACAUAAAAAAUAAGAGUCUGAAGUUAAUUACAUGCUUGAGAACAACAUAGCAAAGCCAUCUUUUUCAGAUUGGUCUUCACCUUGCUUGCUGGUGGGAAAAGCAGAUGGCACACAGCGCUUUGUGGCAAACAAAAGAAUCUGUUCUACUUUCACUUUCAUUUUAGCGUGAUUUUGGGUGGAGUUUGUCAAUUAACGGCGGAAGGGAGUUGUAUUUAAAGGGAGCGUGUCGUACCUGAAAAAGAGGCGUCAUUCGUUUGUUUGCACAUGAGGGUUGCCCGUAUGAGAGAUGGUUUACGGUGGAAAGACGGCUGCGUGUCAAUCCGCUGUUCCAUGGCGAUGAUGUCUGGUGCGUGACUGAAGCAUUGCCCUUCCAGACCAACUGUCAUGAGCAGUCCUGAAGACAAGGCAAAAACCGCUUAUCCACCUAUCUUGGUGUCUGGUGACCCGCGAUACUCAUUGGUGCCUUCAAUACCUGCAAACGGGCGUGACGCGGUCGGUUUCUGGCACGGGCACGGAUUUCGAAGACCAGAGACCGCUAGUGGGAACGUGUGGUCAUUGCUUAUUUUGUUUUUUUAGUUUUUUAUUUUGUUGUCCAUUUCGCUUUUCUGUGUUAUUAUGAUUUUGAACAUAUGGAAGAAUAAAUAUCCUGAUGACCUUUAGUCUGGGAUUAUUAUUAUAAUUUGUUGUGUAACAGGUGGUUAUUUUCCUGCUAUCCUGGGUUAAGUUAAUUUUUGACAGGUUUAAUCCUGUCUGGCGCCCGAAGGUUGUUUUCUUUAAAAUAGUAUUGGAGUUAGGGCGGCUACCACCGUUAUAGAGUGGCGCCCGAACAGGGACCUGAACUGAAACCUGCUUGAACACUUGAAACUUGAGCUUUUGAUUUUGACAAUCCCUGUGAACUAUUGAACACUUUAAAA